RNAcentral lists this unclassified non-coding RNA (211 nucleotides) under Hevea brasiliensis (rubber tree). Lineage: Eukaryota; Viridiplantae; Streptophyta; Magnoliopsida; Malpighiales; Euphorbiaceae. The record is from RNAcentral.
AUCAUAAUGGUGAUUAAAAUGCUUGAAUAUUUUGGCCUUCCUGUUUGAUAAAGGCAAAUGGUUCAUUUGUAGAUGAUUGUUGAAUCUAAUAACGUUGCUUAAAUCUUGAUCUUAUGUUAAAAUGUUGAGCUUUGAGCAUGUGGCAUGCAAGCUUCAAGUAUAGAAUAGCUAUCUGGAGUAAUAUUUUGUAGUCCAAUGGUCUGCAGUAGCC